AAUGGAGGAAACUCUGAUGCAGCGACGCCGCGUGAGGGAAGAAGGUUUUCGGAUUGUAAACCUCUGUCUUCGGGGACGAUAAUGACGGUACCCGAGGAGGAAGCUACGGCUAACUACGUGCCAGCAGCCGCGGUAAUACGUAGGUGGCAAGCGUUGUCCGGAAUUACUGGGUGUAAAGGGAGCGUAGGCGGUUUGGUAAGUUGGGCGUUUAAUCUACGGGCUCAACCCGUAUAAGCGUUCAAAACUACCAAACUUGAGUGAAGUAGAGGCAGGCGGAAUUCCCGGUGUAGCGGUGGAAUGCGUAGAUAUCGGGAGGAACACCAGUGGCGAAGGCGGCCUGCUGGGCUUUUACUGACGCUGAGGCUCGAAAGCAUGGGGAGCAAA
This 384-nucleotide ribosomal RNA is filed under the name uncultured bacterium. Its description in RNAcentral is "bacterial SSU rRNA". It matches the Rfam family "Bacterial small subunit ribosomal RNA", at positions 370 to 772 of the family's 1533-position model. The record is from RNAcentral.